GGAUUAGAUACCCUGGUAGUCCACGCCGUAAACGAUGUCGACUAGCCGUUGGGGUCCUCGAGACCUUUGUGGCGCAGUUAACGCACUAAGUCGACCGCCUGGGGAGUACGGCCGCAAGGUUAAAACUCAAAUGAAUUGACGGGGGCCCGCACAAGCGGUGGAGCAUGUGGUUUAAUUCGAUGCAACGCGAAGAACCUUACCUACCCUUGACAUCGUGCGAACUUUCCAGAGAUGGAUUGGUGCCUUCGGGAGCGCACAGACAGGUGCUGCAUGGCUGUCGUCAGCUCGUGCCG
This 293-nucleotide ribosomal RNA is filed under the name uncultured bacterium. RNAcentral's name for it is "partial 16S ribosomal RNA". It matches the Rfam family "Bacterial small subunit ribosomal RNA", at positions 775 to 1067 of the family's 1533-position model. The record is from RNAcentral.